RNAcentral lists this unclassified non-coding RNA (920 nucleotides) under Hevea brasiliensis (rubber tree). Lineage: Eukaryota; Viridiplantae; Streptophyta; Magnoliopsida; Malpighiales; Euphorbiaceae. The record is from RNAcentral.
AGUUAAAACACUUGCUGUUGUAUCAGCAAAUAAAACUCCAAUUAUAUUAUCAGCAAUUUGAUCUUCAUUUAAUACCAAAAAUCCUUUUUCUUCUUUAGCAUUCAAGAAACAACUCAACAACCCUUUUUCUAGUGUCUUCUUCUCCUUCAUUUCUAUUAUUUCACUCAAAAUCUUCCCAAGUUUCUUUCUUGCUUGAAGGGCUUUUCUGUAAAGAGUCCCUGGCAAAUUUAUUGGAAAUGAAUUAUAACCUUUAUCAACUAUGCUAUAAUUCUUCUUCAAUUCUUCCUUAACAUGACCAUCCAAAUGUCCAAAUAUUGCAAGUAUACCUACUUCAAAAGAAAACUUUUUCAUCUCAUGAUAAGUGUUGACAACAUGUCCUCCAACCCAGGAAUUCAAUGCAGAAAUCGAUAAUUCUUCGAUAUAAGGGAUUUGAUUUCGAAUGGAUUCUGGAUUUAAAGGAGCUUGAACAAGUUUUCUAAGGUGAUUAUGAUAAUCUCCUUGAUGAAAAAAAAUUGCAGAUUGACCAAUUAAAUUCUCUUUACUUUUAGGAUAAGUUGGCUUAAACAAAUUUGCUUGGUUCACUAGUACAAAUCUAGCAGCUUCUGGACUUGCCAACAUCACACAUGGACAACCUAGAAUUUUUGUCUUAAAAAUUUCACCAAACCUUCUUUGCCUAUUAAUGAAGAAGGCAUUAGGGUCUUGAGAGUAAAGUUGAAGAGUUUCACCAAUAUAAGGCCAUCCCAUUGAUCCAGGAGGAAGUUUAUAAGCAUUUUUCUUGGAUGAUGAAUUGUUAUUUUUGCCAAAACAAAAAUAAUAAGACAAGUAACCAAGAACAAACAUAGAGAUAUAGAGAAAUAUUUCAAAGUAAUUAACCAUGUUGCUAUUUUUUUGUUAUGUAGAAUGGACAAAUGAAGUUUGUU